UCCUCAGCUGAAACUCUAGAGAGAGAAAGAGAGAGCUUGAAAACGAAGAGGUUUUCUAAGAUUCUAAAUCUAAGAAUCAGAACCAUUUCAUUUUAUACCUACAGUUUUCAAUCUUAGUGUUUAGAUUCAGUUUUUUCAGAGAAUGGUUGAAAUUGAAUAGAUCUAAGACAGUAAGCAUGUUGUUGUUACUAACUAAGGCAAUAGCAGUAAAGAAGAGGAAGAAGAAGAAGAACGAAAAAGAGAAGAAUAGGGUUUAUUCAUCACUUGGUAUGGGCGGAAUCGGUAAAAAACACCUUAAAUCUCUUUCGGGCAAUAUAGCAGACAAAUAAGUUGCCUUUAUUUGUGACGGAUAUUGUCGUUCAAUGUUGGCAAAUCAAGUGGUGCUGGAACUUGCUCUGACCUUAUUGAUUUUGUAAGUCACCACUUAUGCGGUUGAAGCAGUAGAGGUCAUUCGCCAAACAUAAAUUAGAAGCAGAAGCAAAUUAUCUGGGUGUUGCUAAAACAGUCUCGGCAGUUCAACUGGACAGACCAUUGAGAUAAACAAGCUCGAGAGGAUAAGGAAUGGCUGUGGGUAAAACUCAGGAUAUUUCGCACUAGAUGGAAUACUUGGGAACACGGAAGCUAAAUGGAGAAAACGUCAUCGUACACCCCACGAUACAAGUGUCUUGCAGAUAAACCCAACACGUUAACUGACAGGGAGUGGCAGUAACUUGUGAAAUUUUGGAUAUGGAAGAGCAUCAGGAGUAGAAACCACCAAAAAGCCAAGCUCUCAAAUGGCUAGGAAAAACGUCCAUCGCUGCGGAGCUGAAACGACUCAUGAAAUAAAUUAGGAUGCUUUGAGCUGUCUAAAAGCGAAAGUAAGAGAUAUGAGACAUCUUGUAUGCCUAGCUGAAACCUUCAUACCCCGGGCUUCGCUAUAAUUCAAAGUACUACAAGUACAAGAACACUUAGCUAAGAGCCAAGCAGCAUCUUGCAGGGAUUUGCUGUGAUUCUUUGAUGCUGAAGGAAAAGCUCUUGCAGCAUUGCAGUGGCAACACAACUCUUCCUGCUGAGUGACUGUAAAAUUCUGAUUUAUGUUUGAAACAAUGAAGAACAAAAGUUGUGGAAAAUGUUUUUUCACGCCAGUGUGCAGUCUUCUAGUUGUGGGAAUUGUCGGUCAUUUUUCAUGUCUGCUAUAUCCAUAUUACGAAUUUACAGAUGCGAAUGAGCUAAAAAUGGCAAUGGAUAAUACUUUGUAUUAGGAGUUCAGGGUUUCAAGCUUAUAUGCAACACAGUAAGAAAGAAAAAAAAAAAAAAAAAAGGAUGGAAAUUUUGUUAAAUUUGAGCUGGUUUUUGGUUCUCAAAAGCUCAUUUUAUUUAUUUAUUUAGUAUU
Papaver somniferum (opium poppy) is the source of this 1372-nucleotide long non-coding RNA. RefSeq lists it as uncharacterized. The transcript is spliced from 5 exons. NCBI's taxonomy places the organism in Eukaryota, Viridiplantae, Streptophyta, Magnoliopsida, Ranunculales, Papaveraceae. The record is from RefSeq and is a predicted model, not a curated record.